Molecule: long non-coding RNA, 1253 nt
Filed under: Pan troglodytes (chimpanzee)
Lineage: Eukaryota; Metazoa; Chordata; Mammalia; Primates; Hominidae
Description: long non-coding RNA NONPTRT017159
Source: RNAcentral
GGCCCUUAACAUUUAGAUCCUUUGGAUCGCUCACGCUUACUAAGCGCUGAGUAUGUGCCAUAUACUAUGCUGGGGGCUUUGCUUUAUCGCCCCAGUUGAUUCUCAUAAUAACCUUAUAUGAAAUAGGCCCGGCUAUCUUACACAUAGGAAACCCGAGGCACAGAGAGAUUAAGUUGCUCAAGGCCACACAGCCAAUUAAUAAAAGGAAAUGGUGUUUGUAUUUCAAAGUGGCAGCUGAAUUUUACCUGGAGAGUCUGUUUUGCUUGUAUUUCUUGAUUAUAUCUGCUCAGUAGGUUAAUUCCAAUACAGAGUGGAUUAAGGAAGAGCCUCUUUACAACUGUGACUCCCAAGGACUUGGGCAUCUAUAUCUUUUGUUCUUUCCUGCCAUUGCUUCCUCUGAUGUCUGCUUUCAAAAUUCAAGAUUAUCAGGCUGUGAAUUACCACUUACUCUUGUCUUUGUCCACUGUCUUUCAGCCUUAGGGGCAGACAGGGGUGGAUCCCUGGGGGAAUAACCUCCCUUGCACACUAGUUGAACAGUCUUCACAUAAGUGGAACAAGCAAAGACAACUUUUUUGGCUUGGUUUUUUCUGCAGUUCAAAAUCCAUUUUAAAUUACUUGAAUCUAGUCUUCACAUAAGUGGAACAAGCAGAGAUAACUUUCUUGCUUGGUUCUUCUCCAGUUCAAAACCCAUUUUAAAUUACUAGAAUCUGCACGUUUUUAAAGUAGUGGAAGAGGGUGGGAUAAAAAGAAGGAUAAUUCUGAAGCUGCUUUUCAAUGACGGUACGUUUAGCCACCUGAUUUCCUGAAACUGUGAAGGAGCCACAACUGUACACAGAUUUAGAAGUUAGAUCAUCAAACUUGCGGGUUUUUUUUUUUUUUAAUAUUUUUUGGAGCCGCCUACUGGCAGCGAUCUGGGGAGGAGAGGAGUCUAAAGCUCUACUUUUCCAUUUACCUCCAUGUAGAACCAGCCCAAUUGAGAGCCUCCAUCCCUGGGCAGGAGCCAAGGUCAACAGUAGCAGUGACUGGGCAGGGGUUUUCAAAAAACUAAAUUAUCAGCUUUUAAGUUUAACUGGAUUAAACUUAGUAAAUGGAUUAAAUAGUAAAAUGAAACCUGUAGUAGAGCCACAGCCAGAACUGCUGCUGUGGAUGGCCAGGCCCCUUUAACCCUCCCCAGGAACUCCAUUCUGUGUUCUUCCCACGGGUGUCAGCAGAUGUGCCAUGUAAACACCAGCAGUGGCUUGAGUGAGAUGAAG